RNAcentral lists this ribosomal RNA (494 nucleotides) under uncultured bacterium. Its description in RNAcentral is "SSU rRNA". It matches the Rfam family "Bacterial small subunit ribosomal RNA", at positions 26 to 521 of the family's 1533-position model. The record is from RNAcentral.
AGGACGAACGCUGGCGGCGUGCUUAACACAUGCAAGUGGAGCGACGAACCAGGGCUUGCCCUGGGGCAGAGCCGCGAACGGGUGAGUAACACGUGGGUUACCUGCCUCGAUGACCGGGACAACCCGAGGAAACUCGGGCUAAUACCGGAUGUGCCCGCAAGGGGAAAGGAAGCUUCGGCCUCCGCAUCGAGAUGGGCCCGCGGCCCAUUAGCUUGUUGGUGAGGUAACGGCUCACCAAGGCUUCGAUGGGUAGCUGGUCUGAGAGGACGAUCAGCCACACUGGGACUGAGACACGGCCCAGACUCCUACGGGAGGCAGCAGUGGGGAAUCUUGCGCAAUGCGCGAAAGCGUGACGCAGCAACGCCGCGUGGGGGAAGAAGGCUUUCGGGUUGUAAACCCCGUUCAGUUGGGACGAAGCUUCUCCGGUGAACAGCCGGACGGAGUGACGGUACCUUCACAAGAGCACCGGCUAACUACGCGCCAGCAGCCGCGGU